RNAcentral lists this non-coding RNA (29 nucleotides) under Homo sapiens (human). The record is from RNAcentral. Lineage: Eukaryota; Metazoa; Chordata; Mammalia; Primates; Hominidae.
UCGGUGGCAAGGUGGGACUCUCCAAGACU